Molecule: RNA transcript, 3254 nt
Organism: Numida meleagris (helmeted guineafowl)
Lineage: Eukaryota; Metazoa; Chordata; Aves; Galliformes; Numididae
Gene name: atherin-like
Exons: 4
Source: RefSeq, a predicted model, not a curated record
CAUCCCAGCCCCCAGGCAGCUGCCCCUCAGUGUGAGGUGAGGGGUACUGGUGGGGGCCCCCGAGCAGAGAGAGAAGUUGCUAUGGGCCCCUCACCGCGGUGGAGUGUGCCCAUGAGUUGCGGAGGAUGGCGGGUGAGCAAGAACUCCCUAUUCAGCCAUUGGGCUUCCACCUGGGAAAGAGUCUUGCGUGUCUGAGCUCUGCAGGAUGUCCCACUGCAAGAAAAACCACAUGGAACAGUGUGUGGAGUACAAGGAAUCUGCUUUGGUCACACCAUUUCUGGCUCCAUAGCCUGGGAACAGAGAUGAGCAAGUACCUGGCAGGGCCCUGGCCAUGACAGCGGAAGUGCAGUGAAUUGAGCCUGGGACUAUCCUUUUACUUGGGAAAGACAACAGGGUGCUAGUGACGCAAGGACACUGGAAGGAUACAAAGACUUUCUGAGACUUUCUAGUUAUGACUACCAGACUUCUGUCUUCAUUCUCUGAAGAGAGUCUAGAUAUAAUAUCCCAAGGGUUUUUCAAGAUGUGUGGAAAUCUAAUACACCAAUUAUAACAGCAACCCAGUCUAAAGUAUCUCCAAAUAAAAAGCAAGAAAUAGCAAGGCCUAAGUAUGAGAUUUAGAAGAGCCUCAGAGAUGACCUAACCCAUGCCAGGAGAAAGGAACUGCUCUCUCUUAUCUCCUGCAAUCUCUUAAUACUGGGGGAGUGUAUGGUCUUUUACUAUUAUGUUUGCAAGGAAAGCUACCUCUGGCAUUAGGAAAUCUUCAGCUGUUGCCUUGAGCUCUCUGCACCACAUGGCCUGAGGGGAGAUGGACUGUGGCUCAUGGACUGAAUGCUUCUCUGAGAGUCGGAUUCAUUGCUUAUUAAAAUUGGUGUGUGACCUCUUCUUGAUUUCCAGCAAGUUUCUGCAGGAUUUUUAGUGGCUUAUGUUGCUUUAUGCCUGGCUGUGUUUUUAUAAUCUUUUUACUGUUUGGAUAAUGUAUACUUGCACGUAAUCCCAAGCAAAUAUGGCACAGUGUAAUGGUCUAACAAAGAGUUAACUUGAAUGUUCAUGCUGCUAACAUGCUACAUGGCUGGUUACUGAAUCUUUCAGAGCCCCAUCUUUGUGAGACAUCUGUUACCAGGAGACUGCUAGAAACUUAGUUACCUAAUUUAGGAAGAUUGCCUCUUUGGAGGAUUUUGCAGUGCCUUUUUGAGUACUUAGGACUGUGUCCAGCUUACAGGACAGCAUGCAUGCUCUGGCUGAGCACUGGCUCUGCAAUGGGAGGAGAGCAGGUUGUGUGUCACUGGCCCUUGUUUCCAGAGUCCUCAGUUUCUGAGCACCAAUUUUUGUGGAAAAGAAAUAUUAAAUGGUGUUUUGGGUCAGUCCCCAACAAACAGAAGGGGAUUAGUAAGCUUCCCUCUCCUCUCUGUAUGUUUCCUUAGCUAAAGAUAAUGCUCAUUAAGAAGAACAAAAAUCAAGAGAAACACAAACUGUGUCCUAGAGCAGUUAUGCAGAAUAAAAGUAUACUGUUAAUUUGUAACUAGGAAAUGCAAUGUUCUCCAGAAAGAUUGAAUUAAAAAUUAUAAAAUGGAGUUUUUUCUUGCUUGUGCUCACAAGCUCACAAGUUCUGCCCUGUCCAAUCUGUGUGCGGUAAGGGUCUAUCACAACAUAGUUGUUGCUUGAAAAAUUACUCAUUUUAGCAAGACUAUGGACUAUGGAAGUGUUCAAUAGGUAGCCUCAACCCUUUGUAAGUAAUGGAAAAACUUGUGUUAUCUCAUUCCAAAUUCUUUUAUUACAGUUAUAAGUCAACCCAUGCUACUUCAAAGCAAUAAAAUUACAUGGUGAGAGUCUCAAAGUGUAAUAUGGAAAAAACAGUAAGUAAAGCAAACAAUUUGGUAAGGUGAACUGGUUCAUCUUUCAGCUCUGGUGAACUCAAAACUAGCUCAGCAAAAAUGGUAAAACUGCCACUCUAAUAAAGAUCUCAGUCACUGCAUGCCUAUGCACAGCAGUGUAAGUUCUUGGUAUUGGCAGAAAUCGAUCCAGCCUCUGGCUGUAAGGCUGCAGAAAUAGGCAUGUAACUCUAUUUAUUUAUUUUCUGUGCAAACUGCCAGCUGUAGUUCAGCUGUAUGAUCCAUUCUUACAGUUCUCACUGAAGAUCAAUGGCUGCUAAACUUGCAUAUCAAAGGGAAAGUAACUCUUCAAUAUGCUAUUUAUCUCCCAAGUGAUGUGAGCUCUUUUUACAAAGAUUGAUACACUCUUUUUUUUUUUUUCAUAUUUUCAGCAACUUCUCUCCCUUCUUUAUCUCAGAUUGAAAAAAAAAAGCCUGAUUUUGAUUUUAUCAACAUUACAUUGGGAAGUCAGACUUGCUAACUGAGUAUUCUCUGUCUCUGUGAUGUAUAAAAAUGUUUGGUGUUCCUUAAAAAUGGAAAUAAUUUACUUUGUAGAUGAGUUCAAGAUCAGAAAAAGGAAAUUUAGUAAGGAAUCUCUGUGUUAAUUCUCCAAGGCGUAUCACUUUUGAAGAGAAUGGACAACUACUUCUAAGUAACUCCUGGAAAUUAUAUCAGCAUCUGAUAAGUACAGUGGCUUCUUGGAAGCUUGUAAAGGAUACACUAAAAAGCAUUUAUUUUACUUUAUUUGAAAAUUCAUUUCAGUCUACCUGCCUCCUGUAGGGUUCAAGAUUAGAAGCUUUCCUUCCAACAGCUUAUAAUAUAAACACUUAAGAAAACUGUACAAGGUUUGCAGUAACGAUUUGAUGAUCAGGUUUGAUGGAAGAGCUGGACCCGCUUCUGAGCAAAGAUCAGGGCCUGUCCUCAUGAUCAUGGAAAGAAGUGACAUUUACAACAGCCAGAGAACGGAAAAUGUUAGCAAGUCAAAGCAAACAGAAGAUAAACAUUAGGCUUUCACAACACAACAGUGCAGUGUGUCCAACUUGUUAUCAGUUUACAGCUUCAGACUUGAAACCCUCUUUCCGAACUGACAAAGUUCUUUGUUACUCCUUUAUUGAGCUGUGCCUGGGCUGCGGUACUGUUCCCACAUUGCCUCCUGCAAUACUGGUGCUGUGAGAGCUAGCAGAAAUUUGAAGGCUGUACAGUUCAACCUACUGCGUUGUUUCUCAUUGCUGAGCGAAGGGCUUUAGCACUUACCAUCAUUACAUUUUUGAAGUUCUUUCCGUCUUCUCUGGAAUAGAAGUGGCUACAGGUGAGGCUACUGGCUGGACUGGAUGGAAGCAGUGAAUCCAAGUGAAAGCAAUGCAAAUUGGGAAAAGUUCAUCCUAU